RNAcentral lists this ribosomal RNA (403 nucleotides) under uncultured bacterium. RNAcentral's name for it is "partial 16S ribosomal RNA". It matches the Rfam family "Bacterial small subunit ribosomal RNA", at positions 30 to 526 of the family's 1533-position model. The record is from RNAcentral.
AUUGAACGCUGGCGGCAGGCCUAACACAUGCAAGUCGAGCGAGCGGCGGACGGGUGAGUAAUGUAUGGGGACUGCCCGAUAGAGGGGGAUAACUACUGGAAACGGUAGCUAAUACCGCAUACUAUCGGAUAACCCAUAGGGGAUUAGCUAGUAGGUGAGGUAAUGGCUCACCUAGGCGACGAUCCCUAGCUGGGCUGAGAGGAUGAUCAGCCAAACUGGGACUGAGACACGGCCCAGAAGCCUACGGAGGCAGCAGUGGGGAAUGUUGGACAAUGGGGGAAACCCUGAACCAGCCAGCCCGCGUGUAUGAUGAAGGCCUUCGGGUUGUAAAGUACUGUUGGCAGAGAAGCGGUAUCUGCAGAAUAAGCACCGGCUAAAUACGUGCCAGCAGCCGCGGUAAUUC